Molecule: ribosomal RNA, 344 nt
Filed under: uncultured bacterium
Lineage: Bacteria
Description: partial 16S ribosomal RNA
Rfam family: Bacterial small subunit ribosomal RNA
Source: RNAcentral
CCUACGGGCGGCAGCAGUGGGGAAUAUUGCACAAUGGGGGAAACCCUGAUGCAGCGACGCCGCGUGAGUGAAGAAGUAAUUCGUUAUGUAAAGCUCUAUCAGCAGAGAAGAAAAUGACGGUACCUGAGUAAGAAGCCCCGGCUAACUACGUGCCAGCAGCCGCGGCAAUACGUAGGAGGCAAGCGUUAUCCGGAUUUACUGGGUGUAAAGGGAGCGUAGACGGCUGUGCAAGUCUGGAGUGAAAGGCGGGGGCUCAACCCCCGGAGUGCUCUGGAUACUGUACGGCUGGAGUGCAGUAGAGGUAGGUGGAAUGCCUGGUGUAGCGGUGAAAUGCGUAGAGAUUA